Long non-coding RNA from Mercenaria mercenaria, 9056 nucleotides. RefSeq lists it as uncharacterized. Lineage: Eukaryota; Metazoa; Mollusca; Bivalvia; Venerida; Veneridae. The transcript has 2 exons. The record is from RefSeq and is a predicted model, not a curated record.
UUUGUGUAUGUGGUCUGCAGUCACUCUAUCUGUAUGUGGUCUGCGUUUUACCCUGUCCCCAGGAUUAGUCUGUAAUUUCGCAUCUCACUUUUCACACUAGAUUUCAGCAAAAUGAAACAAAACAUGGUUGAUUAUAUUGUUUCUACGAAAUUACCAUCUUUCCACGGUUAUUAAUAAAACCCGAAAUUAUCGUUCUUGUCAAUAGCAAUUUCUUGUUGGCAUUUUACAAUCGUUUUGUUCAUUUUCAUUUCUUUGAGCUCAUUAAUAAUUUAUUACCCACAUUCCCCAGCCACAUACUUCCGCUAAGUUUCACCGGUUGUGUUGAACUUUCAGCUAAUUUCAACAGCUGUUUGAACGAAAAUGGUUGAAAUAGGAUCAGGGCCGAUUAAGGAGAGCAUAGAUAACACGGUGUUUAUUAUACCUGGAUUAAUUAUAGGAUUUCUUGUCAUUUUCUUCACAUAUAAACUUGUUAAAAGUUUACGAGAGAAAGAACGACUGAAAGAAGAAAAGAAGAAGCUGAAACAGCAAAGGAAAGAAAAAGAAAAUGCAAAAAAGAUAAAGAAGAAAUAGACAUAAAUAAUGCGUUUGUGAAUGUACAUGUAUUGUAACAAAGUUUAUUUAGUAUUUAAGACUAGCGUCUGUGAAAAUUGUCAGGAGUUUUGCUGAAAUGGUUAUCUGUUAGUUUUGAACUUGGUGUAGAGACAAGAUGAACGUGAGGGUAAUGAUGGCAAUAUCUAAAGGUGAAGGAAAAUAUUUUACAGUGAUACACAAAUUUAUAUAAUAAAAAAAAGACUGGGAAGAUAAGCUACCAGUACAUGUCACAGGGGCAUAGUCUUGCAGUAAUGGUCGUCACAACAUGCAUUAAUUAAAAAUAAGACCGAAAAAAGCAAAAUUGAAAAUGUUUGAAAAAACUAAUACUUGCCACUAACUCUUCAAAAGAUGUCCAGACUAACAGAUGAAUUUGUGCCAAUGACAGAAAAGAAAUUUUGGAAUGCAGCUUUGAAUAAUUUUGAAGCCAUAAGUAUUGAAGACGGAAAUACAACUAUAAAUAAUAUAUAAUUGAGAAUUUGCUGUUAGUUUUCAGGUUUUUAUUAUAUUUUGUAAUGGUUAUGAUCAUUCCAGAUUUUUUAGUGUCAUAAUAUACAUGUAUAUUUGCUUUGAACGUUGAUGCGCAUCUGUAUUACUUCAGAAUAUAAAAAAUUAAACACAUGUUUUACAUACAUCUUACAUUCUUAAAACUUGGUCUCCAAAUUUAUAAUUCUGUACAUGUUUGUAACAAUAUGGUUACCAUUUGAGCCAUUUGCCAUGACUUUGUUGAAGUGGCUCAAUUUUUUUUUAACAUUUUUAUUUUUGAAUUGUACCAAUUUCUGACUUGAUAACAUUUUUUAUGCUUUAAAAGAUGACAUGUCUAAGACACAAUCUGAGGCAGUGUAGGUCUUGUACCUGACCUGCUUUAUGACGACUAAUGUUCAGUAAAUACCAGAAAACAUUUCUCAGUUAAAUGUCAUUGAAAACACAGGUUUACAGUUUCAAAAGGGCUUUUCACGCUCAGUUGAUGAUGAUUUUUAAUAUUAUCAAGUCAAUGUAUGCUGACAGCUCAUGUCUUUAAACAGCUUGCACAUUAACAGUUGUCCGAUUCAUGUCUAUGAUUAGGUAAAUUACUGUAAAAUCAUUUAAUUUCGUGGGCAUAAAAUUUUGUGGUUUUGGUCAAAACUGCAAUUUCAUGGGAAUAGAAUUCGUGGAAUUCAAAUCUUGAACAUAAAAUGAAUGGGAAUUUUACUUGUUCGUUGGGAUUAAAUUUCGUGGAUUGACUCAACCACGAAAUCCACGAAAAUUAGUCCCCCAUGAAUAUUAAUGUUUUCACAGUAUACUAAACUUGGCUUCGUACGACUUUGGAAAGUUUAGUUUACAAGCUUUCCAAUGAUACAUUUUCAAUUCUGACCAGGUUUUCUAAGAAACUGUGCUAUCUGUUUUCAUACAUGUAUACUGCUUAACUCCCCUUUUGGUUAUUAUAAUUAGCAGAUGCACAGUCAGUGCAGGAGAAAGAUUUUUUACAAAAGUAUAGACAGUGAGAUGUCAAAGUGCUAUAUGGAACUUUUAACCCUGAUCAUGCUAGACACGAUUGAUUUUGCCUUUGAGGCCAGUGUAGAUGAUAAUUCAUGAUCUCUGCACUGUUCGCCAUUCAGUCAGUAUCCUUUCGGUAAGCAACCCUUUUAACAGUUAAUGGUAUUGUCCAAAUUGAAAGAUGGACACGUUCACUAUAGAAAUUUAGCAGGGUAAGGGUUAAAGGGAAAUCACUUAUUAUCUGGUACUUGAUAUCAAGAUAGGUAACUCUGCUUACCCCUUCACUUCAGAUGCCUUCUAUAGUCUUGAAACUGUAGACCUGUGUGUGUUAUUGUUUUGCCUCAACAUAUUUGAGUAUAAUUGUAAAAGCUUUGAACUGAUAUUUUAGCCGCACAGUGAGAAAACCAACAGACCCGCAUGGAUCCAGACCAGCCUGCAUAUCCGAGCAGUCUGGUUAGGAUCAGUGCUGUUUGCUAAUGGUUUCUCUAAUUGCAAUAGGCUUUGAAAUGGAACAGCAUGGAUCCUGACCAGACUGCGGAUGUGCAGGCUGGUCUGGAUCCAUGCUGGUCGCAAAUGCACUAUGUUGGUUUUCUCAUGGUGCGGCUCAAUUAUAUGUAAAAUUUCUUGCCAAAAUGUAAUUAUUUUAAUGCUCUUUAUAUCAUUGCGUCAGAUAUAUAGAUCUAACAUUGUAUGUCCUACCAAUAUUAUUUACUCGAUAGAUAAUGCUAAAAUCUGUUUUCAUGCAAAUAUUUUGAAUUCAUUUAAAGAUACUCUUCAGCAUUCCAUGCUUUAUUUGCAUAAAAUUUACAUAAACGUCGUAGUACAUUGUAUAUGGUAAUACUUGUUUAAUGCCAGAGCAUUAAUUCUGUAUGAAAAGUAAGAAACGUAAGGCAUUAGUAAUACGAGCCGCACCUUGAGAAAACCAGCAUAGUGCAUUUACAACCAGCAUCAAUCCAGACAAGCUGCACAUCCACGCAGUUUGGUCAGGAUCCAUACUGUUCAGUUUCUCUAAUUGCAGUAGGCUUUCAAGUUUGAGCUUUGAAAGCGAACAGCAUGGAUCCUGACCAGACUGGUCAGCAUCCAUGCUGGUCGCAAAUGCACUGUUUGUUUUCUCAUGGUGUGGCUCAUUUGUUGUAAAGCUGUCAUUGAAAUACUGAAAUAUGGUGCUACAUGUAUACAUCCACUGAAAUGAUAGAUGUAUAAAUUAUCAAAGAAGAAAAGCUUGUCAAAGGUUACUUAGCGAUCGGAGAAUAUAAAAUGGUUAACAACAUUUUAGCUCAUAAAAUUACGCAGUUAAAUAGCUCUUUCUGUUGCUGUGAAUUUGAAUUAUUACGCAAAAGUAUUUUUACCAAUUAUAAGUUUUCUUUUGCAGUUUACAGUAAAAGAUGUUAUACAUUUCCAAACUGUCAAAUCCUCAUUUUCAUACGUAUUUUUUUACACUGGUUUAGUAUAAUAGAAUACUGUAUUGUUAGGUUUUAGAAAAGUUGGUCUGUGUUUGUCUUGUAUACAUUAAUAUUUUGAUGCUGGACAUCAUGAUUAUGUAAUGCUUUUUGUUAUACCCCCGAAGGGAGGCGUAUUAGUUUUCAACUGUCCAUCCAAUCGUUAGUUCGUUCAUUCGUCACAACGUUAACUUUUUGCAUGAAGGCACUUUACUCGCGAACCACUGCACCCAGGACCUUCAAAGGUCAAGGCGCUGUGGGGGCAUUUGUCACCAUUAGUGACAGCUCUUGUUAAAGACAAAAAUGAAGUUGUUAUGUUGAAUGAAACCAUCCUUCAAAGAAAAAUUGUAAUGAUGAACAGUGUUUAUGGUGUUAAAUCCAUAACAGGCAUUAUUUAAUUAAUAGGCCAUUAACCCUUAUCAUGCUGGACACAAUUGGUUCGGCCUUUUCGACCAAUGCAGAUCUUAAUCAGACUGCACAUCCAUGCAGUCUGAUCAUGAUGUGCACUGUUCACCAUUCAAGUUAUAUAUUUUAUGUAUACUCAUUUAACAGUUAACGAUACUGUCCAAAUUGAAAGAUGGACAAGUUCUUUACAAAAAUUUAGCAGAGCAGGGGCUAAAGACAAUAGGCAAUUUACAUUAAUUUUUGUAUUCUCCAUAUUAUAUUUCGGCAUUCUCGGUUUUGAUGAAAAAUAAUUUUCUGUUACCGCCAAUGUAGGAUGCCAAAAUUGCAUGUUAAGAAUACGAAAUUCAACGGAAAUUGCUGAUUGUCUGUAUGGGUAGAGAAUUUUAAUAGGCAGAAUACCUUAAAAUUGUAACAGUAUUUUGAUAUUGAGGGAUCUGACCUUCAGUUUUCUAAAUAAUAACUGUGACUUAUAAAUAAUUUUAUGAAAAGCAGAUCCUAUGUUUAAAAUAUUAAAUAAUUGUAAUUUGUACAUAAGAAAGUGUUUUUCAUUGGUCCAUUUAACACAGCAACUCAUUUGAUAUAGUUUAGGAGUAAGCACAUGUUACACAAAUGUUUUUUCUCCAUCUUCCCAUUUACUUUAAACAUGUUAAAAGUAGAAAAUUUCGUGGAGAUUUAAUUUUUCCUAUAUUCGCGAGGCCAUACAUCUCGCGAAAAUUAAUCCUCGUGUAAAGAGUCAACAUUAGUAUAAAUCAAAUUCAAGUAGAAUACCAUUUUUAAAACUUCACCAAACCUCACGAACAUACUCAAAAUUUCAAAUUCACUUAUUUGUGACACAGCGAAAAUACAUGCUUUUACAGUAACAUAGACAAAGAGGUAUCAGCAAAGCCUGAAAGUGAUUUAAUGUUUGUACUAGGGUGAAUAAUGCAUGCAGUGUGUAAGGAAAUUGAAAGAACUGAUAAGUGCAUUAUCUAUAAUUUACUUCAUGCAUGCAGACAAUGUUGACAUGCCUUUCACACAACCUGACUUUUUGUUUGAAAGUGAUCUAUUGGAAAGAGCUUGAGGCGAUUUUGGAUUGUAUUUUCUGAAUGUAAUGAUCAUAUUUAUUACAAAACAGUUCAUAUUUUACUUCCUCCUUGAUUUUUUUUAAUUGCCUGUAGCAUAUUUAUAAUUGAUUACCGGAAGAGAGUUUUCAUAAAAAAAAUUUAUGAAUGACAUGUUCAAAAAAUGUUACUUGUUACAGUUGUCAUGUGUAAUCGUUAUCAAACCCAUGCAACCUAAAUGUUUGAUGCGCCUUUUUUACGACAAGAUUUUUCAUUGAUUUCUUUUUUAAUACCUUAUGUAAAACAUUAUGAUGAAAUUUAUUUAUGAUUUUUUUUCUGUUGUUAAUUUUAUCUAGUUUAGUUACCAAACCAUGCACUGCAUUUAAUUUUAGCGAAAUUUUUAUCACUAAAAAAACAUUGGCUAUCUAUAAUUUCAGCACAGAGAAAAAAUCUAAAAAUAAAGUGAUUGUAAUACAUGAAAAUGCAACAUUAAUUUUGUUAUAUUUUCAGUUAUAAGAGGAUAUGUAUACUUCCAAAAAAAAAAAGAAAUAAGUAUCUCUUUGCAUUAAGAUUGUUUCUACAUUUGUAUAGAAAUGAUAUUAUUACAUUGCUUAGAAAAUUUAAUAUUUGAAAUUAUUAGUUGCAAAAACACCUUUAUUUGAUUAGCAUAAUGAUAUUCAAAGUGACAUAGCAAUAGGUUAUUGUAUUCAAAAUUAAGGGUUUGGGGUUUGUCAGUUAUCUGUGUGUUUUCAUUUUAUUUAUUUCCUUGUUUUAGGCAAUUUAUUACUAGUUUCUAUAUCAUUUUUGUGGUGUUUUUAACUGCUGAAUAACGCUUACCAUGUUGGACACGAUUGAUUCCGCCUUUGCAACCAGUGUAGAUCAUGAUCAGCCUGCAUAUCCAUGCAGUUUGAUCAUCCUCACUGUUCACCAUUCAGUCCGUAUCUUUUCGGUAUGCACCCCUUUUAACAGUUAAUGGUACUAUCCAAAUUUAAAGAUGGACAAGUUCAUUAUAGAAAUUUAGCAGGUUAAGGGUUAAUUUAAAUCUCAGUAUUAUUGACAGUGUAGUUGAAUUUUUAUUGUUUAUUAUCUUAGUUUUUAAUAAAUCAAUACAGAUAUAUUUUAUAGCUAGAAAAAAAUCCUUGUUAGAAAAUUUAAUGUUCUUUAUGCAGUAAGUUUUUGUUAAAUUUGAAGAGCAGGUGAUGAACUUUGUGAACUAGUUUUAUUGUUUUUGUAAAUACCAAUGAACAAUUAUUUAUGAUAUGACUGUUUUGACAUCAGGUUAUAAACCCCACUUUCCCUGAAAUAAAUAACAAAGGGACUGUCUUUGAGUCACAUGUUCUGGAAAUCUUCAAUUUUUUUCCGUCAGUGUAUCUCCAGAACUGAAAAAUUAAUGAGCCACACCAUUAGAAAACCAACAUAAUGUGUUUGUGACCAGCAUGGAUCCAGACCAGCCUGCGCAUCCGCACAGUCUGGUCAGGAUCCAUGUUGUUCGCUUUCAAAACCUAUUGCAAUUAGAGAAACCAUUAGGGAACAGCAUGAAUCCAGACCAGACUGCACGGAUGUGCAGGCUGGUCUGGAUCCAUGCUGGUCGCAGACGCACUAUGUUGGUUUUCUCAUGGCGCGUCUCAAAUGUAUUUUCAAAAAAUUACCAGUAAAUGUCUUUUAUAUCAAACCAGAGUCAGGGUAUACACAAUCUUCUGGGAUAUCUCUAGUUUUUCAGCGAACUCAAAACUUUUUGUCAUAUAUUUGGAGUCUAGCAUUAAAGAACUGUCAAUAGACCAUUGCAAACAACUAGGUGGGUGGGAGUUUUAGGAUUGCUGUCCAGAGGCCUUUUUAUAAUCCAAGAUUCUGUUUUUCUUUUAAAUCAAAAUUAUGUGUGUGUGUGUGUGUGUGUGUGUGUGUGUGUGUGUGUGUGUGUGUGAUUAACUGCUGAGUAUUUGAUGCCCUCCCUCUGGCCCACCUCUGAAGAAGUGGGUAUAUUGUAUAGCAUGUCAAUCUGGCUUUUGGUUCACAAUCAGUUAUUAGAGACUGCUUGGUCUCACAAUGGUCAAACUUCACAGGAUGAUUCCCAGUGAUAAGUAGAUUACCCCACUCAUAUUUAGGGUCAAAGGUCAAGGUCCAAGACUUAGUGACCUUUAGACAGAAAAAUGGUUUCUGCUCAGUAACUUAUUAAGAACUUAUAUUCAUGAAAUGUCAUAGGGUGAUUGCCUGUGGUCAUUAAUGACCACUUAUUAUUUUGAGUCUCUAGGUCAAAGGUCAAGGACUGCUAAAUCAAAAAUUGCUUCAGCUCAAUUAUCAGGGGACCCUUUCUCUGUCAACUUUUGUAGGAUGGUUGCCUGUAGUGUUAGACCCCUGAUGUUUUAAAGGUUAUUUGGUCAAAGGUCAAUGUCAUAGUGUACUAAAUUACUACCCACUUGUCUGUUACAGGCUGUAAUGGAGGGGUAUAUGUGUUUUACAAAUAGCUCUUGUUACAUAUGCCAUUUUAUGUACUUUUAAUUCUAGAUAGAUAAACUAUAACAGGUAUCUCUUAGAUGUUGUUUUACAAAGUUCAUAGUCUUCUUAAAAUUAUUCUAGGAUAAUUUGACCUUUGUCUAUCCACAGACAAAUUUUUUAAGGUUUUAAAUAAUAAUAUGAUUUGCAGGUGUGUUUUCAAUGUGUUUAGGCUUUUCCAGUGAAAUGUUUAUUGAAAUCAUACACAUACUUUUAUGCAUACCAGUUCUGAAUUCUUAUCCACAGCCUUGUUGAUUUUCAUCAUCGUUUUCAACAUCAAAAUGCAUUUUGUCUGUAGGAUUUCAGGGCCCGUCCUAGCCACUAAUUGGCUGUAGCCAAAGCUGCUGUUAAAAAUCAUACAAAAAUAUGUUUAAAAUUGCAAAAUAGACCAUCAAAUUUGUAGCCAAAUUGAAAAAAUUGUAGCCAAAGUGGCAUUUUAUAAGCCAUUGGCUACAAUGGCUAAAGGCAGAGCAGGCCAUGAGGAUUUGUAACAUAAUCAAAGGUAUUAUAUCAGGAUGUGUUGUAAACUAGUCACUUUAACCCUUACCCUGCUAAAUUUGUAAAAUGAACUGGUCCUGCAUUCAAUUUGGGCAGUACCAUUUAUUAUUGGAAGGGGUGUUAACUGAAAAUUUACUGACUGAAUAGCGAACAGUACAGACCAUGAUCUUGGUCUGUACUGGUCGCAAAGGCAAAAUCACAUGCCACUAGCAGGCUAAAGGUUAAAGCAUUUACCAUAAUAAGAUGUAUAGCAAUUUUAAGAUCCCAAAUCAAGUCAUGUCACAAGUGUUUGCGUAAUAACUUAAGGUGCUAGAAUAUGUUCCUCGUAAAAAAAAAAAAGAAGAAAAACGGUAAAUUGCUGUUUUUGCAGAAACUGGUAUUAUCAGCUUACUGUGAAAUUCUUGAUAUUCGUCGGGGAUUUAUUUUCAAAAACUUCCUGGUUGGAUCUGUCUACAAGAUCUAAACACAAAAUUCAUAGAAUAUUCUUGGCUUGGCUAAAAGUAGCUUUUUGAAUGAAACCACAAUUUUUUUAUGCUCAUGAAUAUGAUUUUACUGUACAUGUUUUUUAGCAUAAAUUCAAAAUUAAAAGAUAAUUAUUUGAAAAAUAUACAAGUUGUUUAAAAUCAUAAGUGCUUGAAAUAUUACAUGAGUCGCGCCAUGAGAAAACCAACAUAGUGGCUUUGCGACCAGCAUGGAUCCAGACCAGCCUGUGCAUCCACGCAGUCUGGUCAGGAUCCAUGCUGUUCGCUUUUAAAGCCUAUUGCAAUUAGAUGAACUGUUAAGCGAACAGCAUGGAUCCUGACCAGGAUGCACAGUCUGGUCUAGAUCCAUGCUGGUCACAAAGCCACUAUGUUGGUUUUCUCAUGGCACGGCUCAUAUUAUAUUUUCUCAUUUUAGGACAUGACUCUUUUCCCUUUCAUUGAGAUUUGUAUGUUGUUGAUAAUUUUAGUGUAUAAAUUCAAUCUGUUUCAGAUAUUGUUUCAUAUAUCAAUCAUCGAUGAAGUGUUAAUAGUAAUUAUGUUGUGAAACUGUUCAUGUAUAAAGUUUUGUCUCAAUAAUGUAUAUAUCAGAAACAGAUAAAUUAUGACAAUUAAUAGAAAUAUUUAAAGACAGAAUAACA